Molecule: long non-coding RNA, 1296 nt
Organism: Tribolium castaneum (red flour beetle)
Lineage: Eukaryota; Metazoa; Arthropoda; Insecta; Coleoptera; Tenebrionidae
Exons: 3
Source: RefSeq, a predicted model, not a curated record
UUUCCUCGAUCGUCAUUUGUUUCAAAUUAUCGCGUCUGUUUGUGUUUAUCGUGUUUUUUGUUCAAAUUGAAGGAAAAUUGGUGAAAAAAGUGUUGAAUUACGUAACUUAAUUAAGUUCAAUUUAUAAAUUGUGGUAGGAAACACCGGUUUUUUUCAAAAAUUUGUAAAUCAUGUGUGAAUACUGAAUUUGGAAAAAUGAUGUUACUUAGUGUUAAGUGUAAUUUUUACAUAAUUUGGUGAUUCCAGUGACAAAGUAAGAAACCGCCGGCAAAAACGUUCACUCCAUUUGGAUUCAAUUGGCCAUGAAUCAGGACGAUAAAGCAGCUUUAUGGAUUACGACGCCCUCCAGAAGCCGUGAUAUGGGUGUCGGAGGCCCUCAGCUUCGGUAAAUAUGUUUGAGGUCGUAAAUUCGGCCGCCACUUUUGACAUUUCACGUCGUUCUUUAACCGCAAAAUGCGACACGGUUUUGUCGCAGAGAUUAAUACGUGAAAGGGUUUACGAAGGGAUUUUCGGGACGUGGUGCCAUCGUAAAACGCACGACAGAUAAAAUCAAAAAUUGAUUUCUGAUCAAUUUUUUUUCACGGUAAAAUGGCAAAUGAUCCGAGGAAAUUGCUCACCUUUUAUAAUGUUGUUUAGAAGUUUCCACCGUGACUGAAUUAACGAACGUUCUGCACCAUUUUCGAUGAAUUAAGCGAGUUUAGAGAAAAGGUUACUUUCGCAAAUUAUUAGGCGAGUUGGAGUGACACGUGACUGAAAAGUUUUAAUUUUUUUGUAAUGGUUGCAAACUUUUCGAGGAAUUUUCAUUCACUCGCUAAUUACAUUAAAGUUGGUUUAACUAAUUUUAGUAGAGAAUUUCCGAUAAACGUCCAACAAAAUUUGACACUUAUUAUCUGGACUUUUGGUUUGUUGCCAUAGAUUGCUGUAUUGGCGUAAAAAAUGCAAGUUCUUUUGUUACCUGAAUUAAAUUUGUCGUAAGCAAAUUUUGUCUUGAUAAAAAUAUGAAAUAAUUUAAUGUGAUUCAUAAAAGGGCCAUAAAUAUUGCUUCGGACAGCUUUUGAUAUAUCAAACAGCGCGUCCUCCCUUGAUAUAUACGUUUCUGCGAGUUUUUUUCUCGUAUAAUAAAUUAUUGCGUUGUGGUUCGAACGUCCCGCUAAAAAUACAAGUUCCAAAAAGUAAUUCGUUAAACGAAUGUUGUUCUUUAAUCGCGCCGAUAAAAUUAGUCGCUAAUCUUGGCAUUUUGUCGAGCCAACAACAUAUAGGACCUGCCUUCGUGCUUUAUGAUGGUCAAUUUUUAUC